Molecule: ribosomal RNA, 447 nt
Filed under: uncultured bacterium
Lineage: Bacteria
Description: bacterial SSU rRNA
Rfam family: Bacterial small subunit ribosomal RNA
Source: RNAcentral
UCCAGACUCCUACGGGAGGCAGCAGUGGGGGAUAUUGCACAAUGGGGGAAACCCUGAUGCAGCGACGCCGCGUGGGCGAAGAAGUAUUUCGGUAUGUAAAGCCCUAUCAGCAGGGAAGAAGAAAUGACGGUACCUGAGUAAGAAGCACCGGCUAAAUACGUGCCAGCAGCCGCGGUAAUACGUAUGGUGCAAGCGUUAUCCGGAUUUACUGGGUGUAAAGGGAGCGUAGACGGCUGUGCAAGUCUGAAGUGAAAGGCAAGGGCUCAACCUUUGGACUGCUUUGGAAACUGUGCAGCUAGAGUGUCGGAGAGGCAAGUGGAAUUCCUAGUGUAGCGGUGAAAUGCGUAGAUAUUAGGAGGAACACCAGUGGCGAAGGCGGCUUGCUGGACGAUGACUGACGUUGAGGCUCGAAAGCGUGGGGAGCAAACAGGAUUAGAUACCCUGGUA